Molecule: ribosomal RNA, 506 nt
Filed under: uncultured bacterium
Lineage: Bacteria
Description: partial 16S ribosomal RNA
Rfam family: Bacterial small subunit ribosomal RNA
Source: RNAcentral
ACUCAAAGGAAUAGACGGGGGCUCACACAAGCGGUGGAGCAUGUUGCUUAAUUCGAAGCAACGCGAAGAACCUUACCUGGGUUUGACAUGCACGGAUUAGUCGGUGGAAACACCGGUGAGGCCCGCAAGGGUACAACGUGCACAGGUGCUGCAUGGCUGUCGUCAGCUCGUGCUGUGAAGUGUUUGGUUAAGUCCAUUAACGAGCGCAACCCCUGUCGCUAGUUGCUAACGCGUCAUGGCGAGGACUCUAGCGAGACUGCCGGCGUCAAGCCGGAGGAAGGUGGGGAUGACGUCAAGUCCUCAUGGCCCUUACAUCCAGGGUUGCAAACGUGCUACAAUGGCGCGCACAAAGCGACGCGAGGCCGCGAGGCGGAGCAAAUCGCAAAAAACGCGCCCCAGUUCGGAUUGCAGGCUGCAACCCGCCUGCAUGAAGUCGGAAUCGCUAGUAAUCGGAGAUCAGCUACGCUCCGGUGAAUAUGUUCCUGAGCCUUGUACACACCGCCCGU